Molecule: ribosomal RNA, 2902 nt
Filed under: Escherichia coli O104:H4 str. 11-02033-1
Lineage: Bacteria; Pseudomonadati; Pseudomonadota; Gammaproteobacteria; Enterobacterales; Enterobacteriaceae
Description: bacterial LSU rRNA
Rfam family: Bacterial large subunit ribosomal RNA
Source: RNAcentral
UUAAGCGACUAAGCGUACACGGUGGAUGCCCUGGCAGUCAGAGGCGAUGAAGGACGUGCUAAUCUGCGAUAAGCGUCGGUAAGGUGAUAUGAACCGUUAUAACCGGCGAUUUCCGAAUGGGGAAACCCAGUGUGAUUCGUCACACUAUCAUUAACUGAAUCCAUAGGUUAAUGAGGCGAACCGGGGGAACUGAAACAUCUAAGUACCCCGAGGAAAAGAAAUCAACCGAGAUUCCCCCAGUAGCGGCGAGCGAACGGGGAGCAGCCCAGAGCCUGAAUCAGUAUGUGUGUUAGUGGAAGCGUCUGGAAAGGCGCGCGAUACAGGGUGACAGCCCCGUACACAAAAAUGCACAUGCUGUGAGCUCGAUGAGUAGGGCGGGACACGUGGUAUCCUGUCUGAAUAUGGGGGGACCAUCCUCCAAGGCUAAAUACUCCUGACUGACCGAUAGUGAACCAGUACCGUGAGGGAAAGGCGAAAAGAACCCCGGCGAGGGGAGUGAAAAAGAACCUGAAACCGUGUACGUACAAGCAGUGGGAGCACGCUUAGGCGUGUGACUGCGUACCUUUUGUAUAAUGGGUCAGCGACUUAUAUUCUGUAGCAAGGUUAACCGAAUAGGGGAGCCGAAGGGAAACCGAGUCUUAACUGGGCGUUAAGUUGCAGGGUAUAGACCCGAAACCCGGUGAUCUAGCCAUGGGCAGGUUGAAGGUUGGGUAACACUAACUGGAGGACCGAACCGACUAAUGUUGAAAAAUUAGCGGAUGACUUGUGGCUGGGGGUGAAAGGCCAAUCAAACCGGGAGAUAGCUGGUUCUCCCCGAAAGCUAUUUAGGUAGCGCCUCGUGAAUUCAUCUCCGGGGGUAGAGCACUGUUUCGGCAAGGGGGUCAUCCCGACUUACCAACCCGAUGCAAACUGCGAAUACCGGAGAAUGUUAUCACGGGAGACACACGGCGGGUGCUAACGUCCGUCGUGAAGAGGGAAACAACCCAGACCGCCAGCUAAGGUCCCAAAGUCAUGGUUAAGUGGGAAACGAUGUGGGAAGGCCCAGACAGCCAGGAUGUUGGCUUAGAAGCAGCCAUCAUUUAAAGAAAGCGUAAUAGCUCACUGGUCGAGUCGGCCUGCGCGGAAGAUGUAACGGGGCUAAACCAUGCACCGAAGCUGCGGCAGCGACGCUGAUGCGUUGUUGGGUAGGGGAGCGUUCUGUAAGCCUGUGAAGGUGUGCUGUGAGGCAUGCUGGAGGUAUCAGAAGUGCGAAUGCUGACAUAAGUAACGAUAAAGCGGGUGAAAAGCCCGCUCGCCGGAAGACCAAGGGUUCCUGUCCAACGUUAAUCGGGGCAGGGUGAGUCGACCCCUAAGGCGAGGCCGAAAGGCGUAGUCGAUGGGAAACAGGUUAAUAUUCCUGUACUUGGUGUUACUGCGAAGGGGGGACGGAGAAGGCUAUGUUGGCCGGGCGACGGUUGUCCCGGUUUAAGCGUGUAGGCUGGUUUUCCAGGCAAAUCCGGAAAAUCAAGGCUGAGGCGUGAUGACGAGGCACUACGGUGCUGAAGCAACAAAUGCCCUGCUUCCAGGAAAAGCCUCUAAGCAUCAGGUAACAUCAAAUCGUACCCCAAACCGACACAGGUGGUCAGGUAGAGAAUACCAAGGCGCUUGAGAGAACUCGGGUGAAGGAACUAGGCAAAAUGGUGCCGUAACUUCGGGAGAAGGCACGCUGAUAUGUAGGUGAAGUCCCUCGCGGAUGGAGCUGAAAUCAGUCGAAGAUACCAGCUGGCUGCAACUGUUUAUUAAAAACACAGCACUGUGCAAACACGAAAGUGGACGUAUACGGUGUGACGCCUGCCCGGUGCCGGAAGGUUAAUUGAUGGGGUUAGCGCAAGCGAAGCUCUUGAUCGAAGCCCCGGUAAACGGCGGCCGUAACUAUAACGGUCCUAAGGUAGCGAAAUUCCUUGUCGGGUAAGUUCCGACCUGCACGAAUGGCGUAAUGAUGGCCAGGCUGUCUCCACCCGAGACUCAGUGAAAUUGAACUCGCUGUGAAGAUGCAGUGUACCCGCGGCAAGACGGAAAGACCCCGUGAACCUUUACUAUAGCUUGACACUGAACAUUGAGCCUUGAUGUGUAGGAUAGGUGGGAGGCUUUGAAGUGUGGACGCCAGUCUGCAUGGAGCCGACCUUGAAAUACCACCCUUUAAUGUUUGAUGUUCUAACGUUGACCCGUAAUCCGGGUUGCGGACAGUGUCUGGUGGGUAGUUUGACUGGGGCGGUCUCCUCCUAAAGAGUAACGGAGGAGCACGAAGGUUGGCUAAUCCUGGUCGGACAUCAGGAGGUUAGUGCAAUGGCAUAAGCCAGCUUGACUGCGAGCGUGACGGCGCGAGCAGGUGCGAAAGCAGGUCAUAGUGAUCCGGUGGUUCUGAAUGGAAGGGCCAUCGCUCAACGGAUAAAAGGUACUCCGGGGAUAACAGGCUGAUACCGCCCAAGAGUUCAUAUCGACGGCGGUGUUUGGCACCUCGAUGUCGGCUCAUCACAUCCUGGGGCUGAAGUAGGUCCCAAGGGUAUGGCUGUUCGCCAUUUAAAGUGGUACGCGAGCUGGGUUUAGAACGUCGUGAGACAGUUCGGUCCCUAUCUGCCGUGGGCGCUGGAGAACUGAGGGGGGCUGCUCCUAGUACGAGAGGACCGGAGUGGACGCAUCACUGGUGUUCGGGUUGUCAUGCCAAUGGCACUGCCCGGUAGCUAAAUGCGGAAGAGAUAAGUGCUGAAAGCAUCUAAGCACGAAACUUGCCCCGAGAUGAGUUCUCCCUGACUCCUUGAGAGUCCUGAAGGAACGUUGAAGACGACGACGUUGAUAGGCCGGGUGUGUAAGCGCAGCGAUGCGUUGAGCUAACCGGUACUAAUGAACCGUGAGGCUUAACCUU